CUUCACCAACCCCAUAUCAUCCUGUACCCGUUUAUAAAUCUCCACCCCCACCAACUCCAGUUUACAAGUCGCCACCACCACCCAAGAAGCCACAAUAUCCUCCACACAUCCCGGUUUAUAAGUCGCCACCACCACCAACUCCCGUUUACAAGUCACCACCACCACCCAAGAAGCCACACUACCCUCCACACAUCCCUGUUUAUAAGUCACCACCACCGCCCAAGAAGCCAUACUAUCCUCCACAUACUCCAGUUUACAAGUCGCCACCACCACCAACUCCGGUUUACAAGUCACCACCGCCACCCAAGAAACCAUACUAUCCUCCACACAUCCCUGUUUACAAAUCUCCACCACCACCUACUCCAGUUUACAAGUCGCCACCACCACCCAAGAAGCCAUACUACCCUCCACACACCCCGGUUUAUAAGUCUCCACCACCACCAACUCCUGUUUACAAGUCACCACCACCACCCAAGAAGCCAUACUAUCCUCCACACACACCAGUUUACAAGUCGCCACCACCACCUACUCCCGUUUACAAGUCACCACCACCACCAACACCCGUUUACAAGUCACCACCACCACCUAAGAAGCCACACCAUCCUUCACCAACCCCAUAUCAUCCUGCACCAGUUUACAAGUCCCCACCACCACCUAAGAAGCCAGACCACCCUUCACCAACACCGUAUCAUCCUGCACCAGUUUACAAAUCCCCACCGCCACCUACUCCAGUUUACAAGUCACCACCACCUUCAGUGAAGCCAUACCAUCCUUCACCAACACCAUAUCAUCCUGCACCAGUUUAUAAGCCUCCACCACCACCAACUCCUGUCUACAAGUCACCUCCACCACCAACUCCAGUCUACAAGUCUCUACCACCGCACCACCCCUAUCUUUACACUUCUCCUCCUCCUCCCUACCAUUACUAAGAAGUGUCAUCGCAAAGUUGAAGG
This 953-nucleotide long non-coding RNA is filed under the name Nicotiana benthamiana. RNAcentral's name for it is "long non-coding RNA (NBEN_LNC005959)". The record is from RNAcentral. Lineage: Eukaryota; Viridiplantae; Streptophyta; Magnoliopsida; Solanales; Solanaceae.